GUGGAUUAGAUACCCCAGUAGUCCACGCCCUAAACGAUGUCAACUAGGUGUUGGAAGGGUUAAACCUUUUAGUGCCGUAGCUAACGCGUGAAGUUGACCGCCUGGGGAGUACGGCCGCAAGGCUAAAACUCAAAGGAAUUGACGGGGACCCGCACAAGCGGUGGAUGAUGUGGAUUAAUUCGAUGCAACGCGAAAAACCUUACCUACCCUUGACAUGUCAGGAAUCCCGGAGAGAUUUGGGAGUGCUCGAAAGAGAACCUGAACACAGGUGCUGCACGGCCGUCGUCAACU
This 291-nucleotide ribosomal RNA is filed under the name uncultured bacterium. Its description in RNAcentral is "partial 16S ribosomal RNA". It matches the Rfam family "Bacterial small subunit ribosomal RNA", at positions 773 to 1060 of the family's 1533-position model. The record is from RNAcentral.